Molecule: unclassified non-coding RNA, 264 nt
Filed under: Coconut lethal yellowing phytoplasma
Lineage: Bacteria; Bacillati; Mycoplasmatota; Mollicutes; Acholeplasmatales; Acholeplasmataceae
Also listed under: 1 other name
Description: 16S-23S ribosomal RNA intergenic spacer
Rfam family: tRNA (bases 121-194)
Source: RNAcentral
AAGGAAAUUUUUUAAAAUCAUCAUCUUCAGUUUUGAAAGACUUAAGUUAAUUUAAAAAAAUAAGUUUUUCGUUUUUUUCAUUAGUUAAUUCUUUUAAUAUAAUAUUCUUUAAGAUUUUAAGGGCCUAUAGCUCAGUUGGUUAGAGCACACGCCUGAUAAGCGUGAGGUCGGUGGUUCAAGUCCAUUUAGGCCCACCAGUCUAAAUGUACUGAAAAUCAAAAAAGUUCUUUGAAAAGUAGAUAAACAACGUAAAUUCUCAAAAUA